UACGUAGGUGGCAAGCGAUACUCGGAAUCACUAGGCGUAAAGCGCAGGUAGGCGGUUUGGUAAGUCUUUUGUGAAAGCUCCUGGCUUAACUGGGAGAGGUCAAAGGAAACUACCAGGCUAGAGUGUGGCAGAGGAAGCUGGAAUUCCCGGUGUAGCGGUGAAAUGCGUAGAUAUCGGGAGGAAUACCUAUGGCGAAAGCAGGCUUCUGGGCCAUCACUGACGCUGAUCUGCGAAAGCUAGGGGAGCAAACAG
This 252-nucleotide ribosomal RNA is filed under the name uncultured bacterium. RNAcentral's name for it is "partial 16S ribosomal RNA". It matches the Rfam family "Bacterial small subunit ribosomal RNA", at positions 524 to 775 of the family's 1533-position model. The record is from RNAcentral.